GACGGAGGAUGCAAGUGUUAUCCGGAAUCACUGGGCGUAAAGCGUCUGUAGGUGGUCAAAUAAGUCAACUGUUAAAUCUUGAGGCUCAACCUCAAAAUCGUAGUCGAAACUAUUAGACUAGAGUAUAGUAGGGGUAAAGGGAAUUUCCAGUGGAGCGGUGAAAUGCGUAGAGAUUGGAAAGAACACCGAUGGCGAAGGCACUUUACUGGGCUAUUACUAACACUCAGAGACGAAAGCUAGGGUAGCAAAUGGG
RNAcentral lists this ribosomal RNA (253 nucleotides) under uncultured bacterium. RNAcentral describes it as "partial 16S ribosomal RNA". It matches the Rfam family "Bacterial small subunit ribosomal RNA", at positions 524 to 776 of the family's 1533-position model. The record is from RNAcentral.